GAAAUCCGGAUUAAUACCCCAUGGUACUGUAAUGUAGCAUUACAUAAUAGUUAAAGAUUUAUUAGGUAAAAGAUGGGCAUGCGUGACAUUAGUUAGUUGGUAAGGUAACGGCUUACCAAGACGAUGAUGUCUAGGGGUUCUGAGAGGAAGGUCCCCCACACUGGUACUGAGACACGGACCAGACUCCUACGGGAGGCAGCAGUAGGGAAUAUUGGUCAAUGGACGCAAGUCUGAACCAGCCAUGCCGCGUGCAGGAUGACAGCUUUCUGAGUUGUAAACUGCUUUUAUAUAGGAACAAAGAGGCCAUGCGUGGCAAGUUGCGUGUACUAUAUGAAUAAGCACCGGCUAACUCCGUGCCAGCAGCCGCGGUAAUACGGAGGGUGCAAGCGUUGUCCGGAUUUAUUGGGUUUAAAGGGUGCGUAGGUGGCGUGUUAAGUCAGUGGUGAAAGCCUGCAGCUCAACUGUAGAGGUGCCAUUGAUACUGACAUGCUUGAGUAUGGACGAGGUAGGCGGAAUU
This 517-nucleotide ribosomal RNA is filed under the name uncultured bacterium. RNAcentral describes it as "bacterial SSU rRNA". It matches the Rfam family "Bacterial small subunit ribosomal RNA", at positions 153 to 668 of the family's 1533-position model. The record is from RNAcentral.